Molecule: long non-coding RNA, 2077 nt
Organism: Dreissena polymorpha
Lineage: Eukaryota; Metazoa; Mollusca; Bivalvia; Myida; Dreissenidae
Exons: 4
Source: RefSeq, a predicted model, not a curated record
UGGGUGGAGCUUUGAAUACAGUUAAUAUUGUCGUCUGCAAACAAAAUAGCGGCCGGUCGCAAAUGUCGUAUUAUAAGAUUAAAAAUGGAAAUAAGCGUGACAAUAAAUUAAUUAUUUCCAAGCUGACUAUCGAUCUAAAGUAAAGAGUGAUAAUUAAAUAAUUAGUUCUAUGUCGUUGAUGUUACAACUUUCUGCCAAUUUUCGAUUGAAAUGAAAGGUGAUAAUUAAUUAAUUUGAUCGUUUUACUCAUACACUAUGCUAACUAACAGCGGCGUAUUUUAAUCAAAGGAAAACGUGAAAAACACGCGCGGUUUAAUUGCAAUAAUUAAAGUUUAAUUAAAGUAACGAAUUUGUAACACAUUGAAAGAGUAAUUCAUAUCGUCUACAAUAUAAAGUAACCACUUUGUCCGUACAGUCGCUAACAUGGCUUCUUUAACCUUAAGGCGUCCUUUGGACGAAAAUGAGUCUGAACAAAAAAAAAUAAAAAAAAAAUAGAGCAUUCCAAGAGUCAUGGAAAGUUGAUAAUGAUUGGCUUUGCUUUGAGAAUGAAUCAAAAUCAAUGAACUGUGACCUAUGCAUUAAGAUGCAGAAUUCCAACAUGUUCACUGUAGGUUGCAAUAUCCUGAAAAAGACUCGGUGACAAAACAUGCAAAGUCUAAAGGUGCAGAUAAACAAGUGUAAUGCUCCCGAAGAAUGUUUGGGCCAAACAAUAUCUAAGAAACAAAAAGUUGAUAAAAAUGCAGAAAGAUAUAGCCAACUCAUUGAAGGUGACGACAUGCAGGUGUGACUGUAUGCACGACUGUUACUGCUGCCUGGGUAUUAUGUGAGCAAGAAACACGUCUGGAUUAUAAUUUGGACACACAUGUACAGCUGUUUUGUGAAUAUGAUAAAUUAUGUAUGCUAUAUUUGCAUUUUUGAUGGGUUUUUAGAUGUUUAAUGUUCAAUACAUCAGACAAACUCGGAAGUUUUUUUUUUAAAUCGAAUAUUAAUUUAUCAAACAAAAUCCCAUGAACUACAACCAUAUGUUUAUAGCUUUACACUUCAAGAACAACUAUUUUUGUGUAUUAUGAUUAUAUAUUUGUUAAUGAGAUACAAUUUUGAGUUGAAAUAUUAUGAAUUUUGUUAUGCCAGCGUAAUAUUUGAUUUUGGUCUGUAAAUAAGAAAUUAUUGGAAAUGCAAGAGAUUCGCUUAUGAGUUGGAAUGUUUUAAAUUUUGUCACGCCGGCAUAACAUUUUAAAUUUUUGUCUGUAAAUAGGAAUUGUUUGGACAUUUAUCAGCCAUUCACUUUCUGUAGAAAUGUUAUGAAUCUUGUUACGCUUGUAUAGCAUUUAGGUUUGGGUCUGUGAAUAUGAAAUUAUUGGAAAUACAAGAGAUUAACUUAUGAGUUGAAAUGUUUGGAUUUUUGUUAAGCUGGCAUAUUAUUUUGAAUUUGGGUCUGUAAAAAGCAAUGAUAGGAAACUUGAGAGCAAUGCACUUUCUGUGGAAAUAUUACUUAUUUUGUUAUGCCGGCGUAACAUUUGAGAUUGGGUCUGUAAAUAAGUAAUUAUUUGAAAUGCAAGCAAUUUACUUUUAAUUUAAAAUGUUUGGAAUUUUGUUACGCUGGCAUAACAUUUUAUGUUUCAGUCUGUAAAUAAGAAAUCAUUCGAAAUGCAAGUGAUUCACUUUUAGUUGAAAUGUUUGGAAUUUUGUCACACUGGCAUAACAUUUACAGUUUUGGUCUGGAAAUAAGAAAUUAUUAGGAAUGCAAGCGAUUCACCUUUGAGUUAAAAUGUAAUGAAUUUUGUUAAGCUGGCGUAACAUUUUUUUUGUUUUCAAAAAAUUAGCAUGUCGAAAUUAUCACAAAAAAACCCUGUAAAACACCCCUUUUAAUUGGGAUUCAUGGACAUUCCAUUUUUAAAAUAGACAGAUUUUUAUGAAUUUUGUGAGUUUGUACCGCCAGCGUAACAUUUAAAGUGGAAUGAUUUAUUUGGUGAUGUUAUAAUGAACCUUUGUGAGUUUGUACCGCCAGCGUAACAUUUUCAAAGAAUUAUCUGUCUAUGUGAUUAUGAACCUUGGGGAGUUUGUACCGCCGGCGUAA